This 535-nucleotide ribosomal RNA is filed under the name uncultured bacterium. RNAcentral describes it as "bacterial SSU rRNA". It matches the Rfam family "Bacterial small subunit ribosomal RNA", at positions 355 to 896 of the family's 1533-position model. The record is from RNAcentral.
UGGGGAAUCUUGCGCAAUGGACGAAAGUCUGACGCAGCAACGCCGCGUGGGGGAUGAAGCUUCUCGGAGUGUAAACCCCUUUCGACCCGGACGAAUGCCCGCAAGGGUUUGACGGUACGGGUAUAAGAAGCCCCGGCUAACUACGUGCCAGCAGCCGCGGUAAAACGUAGGGGGCCAGCGUUGCUCGGAAUUACUGGGCGUAAAGGGUCCGUAGGCGGUGUGACAAGUCGGUAGUGAAAUCUCUGGGCUUAACCCAGAGGCUGCUGCCGAAACUGUUGUGCUAGAGUGCGAGAGAGGCGAGUGGAAUUACGGGUAUAGCGGUGAAAUGCGUAGAUAUCCGUAGGAACAUCCGAGGCGAAGGCGGCUCGCUGGAUCACAACUGACGCUGAGGGACGAAAGCUAGGGGAGCAAACAGGAUUAGAUACCCUGGUAGUCCUAGCCCUAAACCAUCAGGACUUGGGGUUUGCCCUGUACGGGGCAAGUCCCGUAGCUAACGCGUUAAGUCCUGCGCCUGGGGAGUACGGUCGCAAGGCUG